ACACAAUGAAAACUAAACACAUAUUAAAUUUGAGUUUAUUGAUAUUAUAAAGCUCUAUAAGGGUAAAACUCCUGAGUUCACACAAUGAAAACUAAAGACAUAUUUAAUUUGAGUUUAUUAAUAUUACAAAGCUCUAUAAGGGUAAAACUCCUGAGUCCACAUAAUCAAUACAUUAGCUUUAUGUAACAAAAACAUAACAAAAAUAUAACAGGGUAACACUACAUUCUAUCUUUAGCGAUAAAGAGCAAAAUUAAAACCUAUAAACAGUGAAUGGUUAUAUCAGAGCUGAUGCAAUAACAACAUGCUUAGUGAUAAUAUAAUAAAAAGCUUGACAUAAGUAUAUAUAGACCUAUAUAAACAAUUGGAUAUGAACUUCCAUAAUUUUUUCAGUCAAAAUAUGAUCAAUAUAAUGCAAAGUUUAUUACAUAAUCAAAUCAAUUACAAUUUAUGUCAGCUGGACAUUAACCGGCUUUUAAAAAAAUUUGAAACUGGUGUACUGGCAUUUCAAUUCAGCAAUUAUUUUUGGUUAGAACUGAAAACUCUAUAACUACUGAAGACAUUUUAUCAAAUUUAUUUCAAAAUGAAAAGUGUCUGUCUAAUGUUAGAAGUUCUAUUAUGAACUGUUGGUUAUAUAUAAUAUCAAAUAAACCAAAAUGAAGCAAGCUAAACAAUUAAAUGAGUCAUUGUGUAUUAAAAAUAUCAUCAGUUGAAAAGUGUUCAAGUUAAGUACACAAAUGUGUGGUAAUGUAAUUGUAUUUAUGAUAACUGCAAACUUAACACACUAAAACAAAAUAUGCAAAAGCACUGAACUCAAGUGACUGAUAUUUAAAACCACAAAUAAUGAAACUAAAACAAAAAAGUUUCUCUUGUUGGCAAGAAAAAUCUGACACAAUAAUUUUAAUCUAUAUUCUACGACAACAUUUGCAUCAAUUAAAGUCAUAUGUAGAAUCUAAUUCUAAGUUUCAGCUAAAGAAGGCUUAGACUGUUGUUGCCAUAGCAAAUAUUUCCUAUAAAUAAAAACCAACACAGUGUUAUGGUGGCUAUAAGCUGAAGAAGGCAUACAUAAAUAUGGCAAUCAUACCACAUCAUCUUUUUUAUAUAUAGCUUCCAUGCUGUAUAAAUGAUAAGCAGGGGAAAAUAUCAAUAUAUGUAUCAACUAGAUAUCUGACUGGCAUGGUAAUAUGGGUAAAGAAAUUAGCCA
RNAcentral lists this long non-coding RNA (1201 nucleotides) under Mytilus galloprovincialis (Mediterranean mussel). The record is from RNAcentral. Lineage: Eukaryota; Metazoa; Mollusca; Bivalvia; Mytilida; Mytilidae.